This 1092-nucleotide ribosomal RNA is filed under the name uncultured Eubacterium sp. RNAcentral's name for it is "bacterial SSU rRNA". It matches the Rfam family "Bacterial small subunit ribosomal RNA". The record is from RNAcentral. Lineage: Bacteria; Bacillati; Bacillota; Clostridia; Eubacteriales; Eubacteriaceae.
UAACACAUGCAAGUCGAGCGGUAGCACAAGGGAGCUUGCUCCCUGGGUGACGAGCGGCGGACGGGUGAGUAAUGUCUGGGGAUCUGCCUGAUGGAGGGGGAUAACUACUGGAAACGGUAGCUAAUACCGCAUAACGUCGCAAGACCAAAGUGGGGGACCUUAGGGCCUCAUGCCAUCGGAUGAACCCAGAUGGGAUUAGCUAGUAGGUGGGGUAAUGGCUCACCUAGGCGACGAUCCCUAGCUGGUCUGAGAGGAUGACCAGCCACACUGGAACUGAGACACGGUCCAGACUCCUACGGGAGGCAGCAGUGGGGAAUAUUGCACAAUGGGCGCAAGCCUGAUGCAGCCAUGCCGCGUGUGUGAAGAAGGCCUUAGGGUUGUAAAGCACUUUCAGCGAGGAGGAAGGAUGAAGUGUUAAUAGCACUUGAUAUUGACGUUACUCGCAGAAGAAGCACCGGCUAACUCCGUGCCAGCAGCCGCGGUAAUACGGAGGGUGCAAGCGUUAAUCGGAAUUACUGGGCGUAAAGCGCACGCAGGCGGUCUGACAAGUCAGAUGUGAAAUCCCCGAGCUUACUUGAUUCGAUGCAACGCGAAGAACCUUACCUACUCUUGACAUCCAGAGAAUUAGCCAGAGAUGGCUGAGUGCCUUCGGGAGCUCUGAGACAGGUGCUGCAUGGCUGUCGUCAGCUCGUGUUGUGAAAUGUUGGGUUAAGUCCCGCAACGAGCGCAACCCUUAUCCUUUGUUGCCAGCGAUUCGGUCGGGAACUCAAAGGAGACUGCCGGUGAUAAACCGGAGGAAGGUGGGGAUGACGUCAAGUCAUCAUGGCCCUUACGAGUAGGGCUACACACGUGCUACAAUGGCGUAUACAAAGAGAAGCGAGCCUGCGGGGGGAAGCGGACCUCAUAAAGUACGUCGUAGUCCGGAUUGGAGUCUGCAACUCGACUCCAUGAAGUCGGAAUCGCUAGUAAUCGUAGAUCAGAAUGCUACGGUGAAUACGUUCCCGGGCCUUGUACACACCGCCCGUCACACCAUGGGAGUGGGUUGCAAAAGAAGUAGGUAGCUUAACCUUCGGGAGGGCGCUUACCACUUUG